This 496-nucleotide ribosomal RNA is filed under the name uncultured bacterium. RNAcentral describes it as "partial 16S ribosomal RNA". It matches the Rfam family "Bacterial small subunit ribosomal RNA", at positions 28 to 506 of the family's 1533-position model. The record is from RNAcentral.
GAUGAACGCUGGCGGCGUGCCUAAUACAUGCAAGUCGAGCGAACAGAUGAGGAGCUUGCUCCUCUGACGUUAGCGGCGGACGGGUGAGUAACACGUGGAUAACCUACCUAUAAGACUGGGAUAACUUCGGGAAACCGGAGCUAAUACCGGAUAAUAUAUUGAACCGCAUGGUUCAAUAGUGAAAGACGGUUUUGCUGUCACUUAUAGAUGGAUCCGCGCCGCAUUAGCUAGUUGGUAAGGUAACGGCUUACCAAGGCAACGAUGCGUAGCCGACCUGAGAGGGUGAUCGGCCACACUGGACCUGAGACACGGUCCAGACACCUACGGGAGGCAGCAGUAGGGAAUCUUCCGCAAUGGGCGAAAGCCUGACGGAGCAACGCCGCGUGAGUGAUGAAGGUCUUCGGAUCGUAAAACGCUGUUAUUAGGGAAGAACAAAUGUGUAAGUAACUAUGCACGUCUUGACGGUACCUAAUCAGAAAGCCACGGCUAACUACGU